CCUACGGUGAGCAGCAGUCGAGAAUCAUUCACAAUGGGGGAAACCCUGAUGGUGCGACGCCGCGUGGGGGAAUGAAGGUCUUCGGAUUGUAAACCCCUGUCAUGUGGGAGCAAAUUAAAAAGAUAGUACCACAAGAGGAAGAGACGGCUAACUCUGUGCCAGCAGCCGCGGUAAUACAGAGGUCUCAAGCGUUGUUCGGAAUCACUGGGCGUAAAGCGUGCGUAGGCUGUUUCGUAAGUCGUGUGUGAAAGGCGCGGGCUCAACCCGCGGACGGCACAUGAUACUGCGAGACUAGAGUAAUGGAGGGGGAACCGGAAUUCUCGGUGUAGCAGUGAAAUGCGUAGAUAUCGAGAGGAACACUCGUGGCGAAGGCGGGUUCCUGAACAUUAACUGACGCUGAGGCACGAAGGCCAGGGGAGCGAAAGGGAUUAGAUACCCCGGUAGUC
This 446-nucleotide ribosomal RNA is filed under the name uncultured bacterium. RNAcentral describes it as "partial 16S ribosomal RNA". It matches the Rfam family "Bacterial small subunit ribosomal RNA", at positions 338 to 795 of the family's 1533-position model. The record is from RNAcentral.